CACACACACCAUAGAGUAAUAAUAUCUAAUGUUAUUUGUUUUAAAUAACUCACGUCUUCCCUCCUUCAGAUAUUAAUGUCAGGAUGCUUCUAACCAGCAGAUAUUUUUUAAAUCUUUUUUUUCAGUUCCCCUUGUAUUUGGGCAUAUGAAUUACUGCGAAUUUUUACAAGCACUCGAUGCAAUAUUAAUCACGCUUUGCUGAUAUAAAAUGCAAUACUUUCGGUCAGCUUUCGGGGCGUUUAGAGGAUGCAGGCGAGUGGAGGAGGUCGGUGUUCAACAGCACAGAAAUCUCCUCCAUAUUGCUUUCUUUAGCUUUUGGCUACAUGGACAGAAGAGUGAGCGUUUUCUCAUCAUGAGAGAAAACCUGCACCCCCUGUCCUAUGAUGACAACAACCUCCAUGAAACAAAUGCAUACUGUUGCCUUAAGGUGGGGAGAGGGAUUCUAAGAAGAUAUCUGUAAGGAAAUAGCCCUCAUUCAGAAGGUUCACCGCUGGGACGAACUAGAUCAAAUGAAAACAGAUGAAUGAACAGUUUCUACAAAUGAAAAGAAAGAGUGAAUGGAUGAACCACCACCUGGGAAUUGUUUUGGAACUCUUAUGGUCGCUGACCUUGGUGCUGAAAAGCAAGCUACUCCUGGGAUAGCCACCCACGCACGUUAAAAACAUUAAAGUCCAAUUAAAAUAUUGUUACAUGCUUUCAUGGAUCCUUUGAUGGUAUUUCCUUCUUUUUUACUGCUGGUUCAUCCGUACUCAGCUAGUUGCCCUUUCAUUGAGAGCUUGUACAUGGGGUGGGAUUUUGGGCUAAGGUGAAGGCAUCUUGCUUUUUAAUCUAUGGGGGAGGGGUGGGAAAUUGUUGUGGGGUAUUUUAAAAACGUCCCCCAUUGGAAGAUAUUGAAUAUCUUCCUCUGUACACAUGGACUUCAAUAAUGAGGAGAGUGUCGGCUACCAUUUGCCCACCGCCACACCAUCAAAUAUUCAUCACUGUUGAUUAAACAGCCGGCAGCUGUCGAUCGUCCGGGUGUCAAAUUUGUGUCCAGCCCAGAACACAAAGGACUGUCGCCCUGAAAUGUUUAGAGAAACUGUUCUGAAGUUUUCACCAAGCAGCAUCUAGAAGAAGGUGAGGGUCAGUGAUGUGCUGAAUAUAACUCCCACUCUCAAAAUAUAACAGGACUUAAGUGGACAUUUACGUUUAAAUCCUUUGACCAUCAGCCAGAAUGACAGAAAGAGAAAUGCACAUGUGUGUGGGUCAGGGUGUGUGUGAGUGAGAGGUUACUGUGAGGCACCUUAAAUAUUUCAUGAGUUGUUAGAGGAUGGGGUAGAGAUGGAGGACUGCCUGGGAAGGUUGGUUCAACUCUGCUGAACUGGAGCUUGGAAGCAUGCAGGGGAACAAAUGUUAAUGCAGUCUCUCUCUCUCUCUCUCUCUCUCUCUCUCUCUCUCUCUCUCUCUCUCUCUCUCACACACACACACACACACACACACACACACACACACACACACACACACACACACACACACACACACACACACACACACACACACACA
Molecule: non-coding RNA, 1542 nt
Organism: Nothobranchius furzeri (turquoise killifish)
Lineage: Eukaryota; Metazoa; Chordata; Actinopteri; Cyprinodontiformes; Nothobranchiidae
Source: RefSeq, a predicted model, not a curated record